UACGUAGGGGGCAAGCGUUGUCCGGAAUCAUUGGGCGUAAAGCGCGUGUAGGCGGCCAGAAAAGUCUGCUGUGAAAACUCGAGGCUCAACUUCGAGCUGUCGGUGGAAACUUUCUGGCUAGAGUCCGGAAGAGGAGAAUGGAAUUCCUGGUGUAGCGGUGAAAUGCGCAGAUAUCAGGAAGAACACCCGUGGCGAAGGCGGUUCUCUGGGACGGUACUGACGCUGAGGCGCGAAAGUGCGGGGAUCAAACAGG
RNAcentral lists this ribosomal RNA (253 nucleotides) under uncultured bacterium. RNAcentral describes it as "partial 16S ribosomal RNA". It matches the Rfam family "Bacterial small subunit ribosomal RNA", at positions 524 to 776 of the family's 1533-position model. The record is from RNAcentral.